This 497-nucleotide ribosomal RNA is filed under the name uncultured bacterium. Its description in RNAcentral is "partial 16S ribosomal RNA". It matches the Rfam family "Bacterial small subunit ribosomal RNA", at positions 28 to 507 of the family's 1533-position model. The record is from RNAcentral.
GAUGAACGCUGGCGGCGUGCCUAAUACAUGCAAGUCGAGCGAACAGACGAGGAGCUUGCUCCUCUGACGUUAGCGGCGGACGGGUGAGUAACACGUGGAUAACCUACCUAUAAUACUGGGAUAACUUCGGGAAACCGAAGCUAAUACCGGAUCAUAUAUUGAACCGCAUGGUUCAAUAGUUCAAGACGGUUUUGCUGUCACUUAUAGAUGGAUCCGCGCCGCAUUAGCUAGUUGGUAAGGUAACGGCUUACCAAGGCAACGAUGCGUAGCCGACCUGAGAGGGUGAUCGGCCACACUGGAACUGAGACACGGUCCAGACUCCUACGGGAGGCAGCAGUAGGGAAUCUUGCGCAAUGGGCGAAAGCCUGACGGAGCAACGCCGCGUGAGUGAUGAAGGUCUUCGGAUCGUAAAACUCUGUUAUUAGGGAAGAACAAAUGUGGAAGUAAAUAUGCACGUCUUGACGGUACCUAAUCAGAAAGCCACGGCUAACUACGUG